Molecule: long non-coding RNA, 1584 nt
Filed under: Triticum aestivum (bread wheat)
Lineage: Eukaryota; Viridiplantae; Streptophyta; Magnoliopsida; Poales; Poaceae
Description: long non-coding RNA (TAES_LNC016086)
Source: RNAcentral
ACCAUUCAUCCAUACCACUUUCUUUGUUACAUUCAGCUAUAACAAUCAGGUAUCUUUAUAGCUAUAACAUUCAGAUAUGUAUCAGUAAAUCGUAUCUUCCAUAGCUAUGUAUCUGUAUACCUAUGUAUCUGACAACAUGAGUAUAGGUAUAAUUCAGGACAGGUGAAGCAUAAAGUUACAAAAUAACAAACAGAAAAAUACAGAAAACUACAUGUUUUCUUCCUCGAUUUGUAAAUACAUGUGUUCCUCCUCGAUGCAGGGCACGGCCGAGACAACUUUGCGCUGCUCCUUGCUUCCUGCAAUGUGACCACGCCCUGCCCUAGAUACCUGUGUUCCAACUAUUACGAAACGAAUAUGUUAGACAUCAGCUUGCUUGUUUCUUUGAUUCUUCGGUGGAGAGAAACCAGAGAAUCGGUGUGCACAAAUGUCAGCCAAGGAGUAGACCUUAAUCACGCACGUGAGAGGGGAGGAGGUUCCUGGGGAUGAGCAGCCAGCCAUGGAGGCAAUAACAGGAAGGGUGGCCGUCGCCUGUGCAUCGCCUAGACAUAGCUUGGGGGAGGCUCUCUUCCUCUCGUCUGCAUCUCUUUGCUGAUGAAAUCAUGAAAGCAUAUGAUAAAUAAAUUUUAAGAAAAUAAAACAUUUCUAGACUUGAAUCCAGCGGUAAACCUACAUAUGCCAGUAGCAGGAAACCACAUGAACCGAUGCCUUGACUGCAUACCACACACCCGUGAGUGGGGAAUCAAACCAGAAAAAAAAUCAUGAGAGGUGACACAAGCGCAACACACCAACGAUGGCCGCCGCCGGAGUGGAUCGGAGAAGGGGAUGAGCCUACGGGCUGGGUGCUCCGCCCAUCGCGCUGUUUGUCGACCACGGCAGAGAUCGGGAUCCUUCUUUCUCGGCUUGGCUAUCAUCAACAACAUUAUAGUGGAACCUAAAUCUUAUAAAGUAGUAAUUCAUGGAUACUUCUGUUUUGUCACACAAACCUCUGCUUUAUAGGCAUCAAAAAACUAUAGAUACUAGUCCACAAAAUGCCUCGAGUUCCAUCCUAAUAUAUCUUCUUCAUUGGUUACACAUCAUCUUCCUCAACUAUGAGGCGGCCUUGCUUUUUACCAACCUAGAUAACCUGGAAUUAAUCAAUGAAAGCAUCAGUCAAUUGAAGCUUGAUAAUCACAUAAUGCAUGACUACUUUGAAGCAAAGGUUAAGUAACUACAGAUUAGAACAUAUCAAGCUUGACCUAUACUUUUUAACUAAUAAUCACUUUACCGGCCUCCAUGACAUAAACUGACAUGGCAUAAUGACAUAAUAACAUACUUUUUUUCUUUCUAAAUUGCAUAAUUGAAAAGAAGCAUGAACUACAAGCAAAAAAAAGAACCAAGCAUUACAUAUUAGGCAGAGCAUGUGACAUUCAUUGGCAAGCAUGCUAGUACCUUUGGGAACCAAGCAUUACAUAUUAGGCAGAGCAUGUGACAUUCAUUGGCAAGCAUGCUAGUACCUUUGGACCGCCUAUAGGUAUACUCCUGUGGGCGCUGGCUGGUGGCCGACAUUAUCAUGAGAUCAUAACAUUCUUCUCUUUUGUUUCUCAU